This 898-nucleotide ribosomal RNA is filed under the name Serratospiculum sp. ABGICD012. Its description in RNAcentral is "SSU rRNA". It matches the Rfam family "Eukaryotic small subunit ribosomal RNA", at positions 104 to 1003 of the family's 1831-position model. The record is from RNAcentral. Lineage: Eukaryota; Metazoa; Nematoda; Chromadorea; Rhabditida; Diplotriaenidae.
CAACAGCUAUAAUGUACUUGAUGUUGAUUAUCCGACGUGGAUAACUGUGGUAAUUCUAGAGCUAAUACAUGCACCAAAGCUCCGACUUUUGGACGAGCGCAUCUAUUAGAUUAAAACCAAUGGGGUUUUUUUUAACCCGUAAAUUGGUGACUCUGAAUAGCUCUGGCUGAUCGCAUGGUCUUGUACCGGCGACAUAUCUAUCAAGUGUCUGCCUUAUCAACUUUCGAUGGUAGUUUAUGUGCCUACCAUGGUUGUAACGGGUAACGGAGAAUAAGGGUUCGACUCCGGAGAGGGAGCCUGAGAAACGGCUACCACAUCCAAGGAAGGCAGCAGGCGCGCAAAUUACCCACUCUCGGAAUGAGGAGGUAGUGACGAAAAAUAACGAGACCGUUCUCUUUGAGGCCGGUUAUCGGAAUGGGUACAAUUUAAACCCGUUAACGAGGAUCUAUGAGAGGGCAAGUCUGGUGCCAGCAGCCGCGGUAAUUCCAGCUCUCAAAGUGUAUAUCGUUAUUGCUGCGGUUAAAAAGCUCGUAGUUGGAUCUGCGUCUCAGGACCUGGUCCGUCCAUUGGACGAGAACUAGGCUCCUAGGCUUUUUUAGCCAGUUUUUCCUAUGUUACCUUAAUUGGUUGCAUAGGAUAGCGGGCAAGUUUACCUUGAAUAAAUUAGAGUGCUCAAUGCGGGCUAAUGCUUGAAUAUUCGUGCAUGGAAUAAUGAAAUAGGAUCUCGGUUCUAUUUUGUUGGUUUUCUGAUCUGAGAUAAUGGUUAAGAGGGACGGACGGGGGCAUUCGUAUCGCUACGUGAGAGGUGAAAUUCUUGGACCGUAGCGAGACGCCCGACUGCGAAAGCAUUUGCCAAGAAUGUCUUCAUUAAUCAAGAACGAAAGUCAGAGGUUCGAAG